This 24-nucleotide non-coding RNA is filed under the name Arabidopsis thaliana (thale cress). The record is from RNAcentral. Lineage: Eukaryota; Viridiplantae; Streptophyta; Magnoliopsida; Brassicales; Brassicaceae.
GGGAAGUCCUCGUGUUGCAUCCCU